AUUGAACGCUGGCGGCAGGCCUAACACAUGCAAGUCGAACGAGUGGCGGACGGGUGAGUAAUGUCUGGGAAACUGCCUGAUGGAGGGGGAUAAAUACUGGAAACGGUAGCUAAUACCGCAUACCAUCAGAUGUGCCCAGAUGGGAUUAGCUUGUGGGUGGGGUAACGGCUCACCAAGGCGACGAUCCCUAGCUGGUCUGAGAGGAUGACCAGCCACACUGGAACUGAGACUCGGUCCAGACUCCUACGGGAGGCACCAGUGGGGAAUAGUGCACAAUGGGCGCAAGCCUGAUGCAGCCAUGCCGCGUGUAUGAAGAAGGCCUUCGGGUUGUAAAGCACUUUCAGCGGGGAGGCGUUACCCGCAGAAGAAGCACCGGCUAACUCCGUGCCAGCCGCCGCGGUAAUUC
RNAcentral lists this ribosomal RNA (406 nucleotides) under uncultured bacterium. RNAcentral describes it as "partial 16S ribosomal RNA". It matches the Rfam family "Bacterial small subunit ribosomal RNA", at positions 30 to 526 of the family's 1533-position model. The record is from RNAcentral.